UCGAGCGGGGAAAAGUAGCUUGCUACUUAACCUAGCGGCGGACGGGUGAGUAAUGCUUAGGAAUCUGCCUAUUAGUGGGGGACAACAUCUCGAAAGGGAUGCUAAUACCGCAUACGUCCUACGGGAGAAAGCAGGGGACCUUCGGGCCUUGCGCUAAUAGAUGAGCCUAAGUCGGAUUAGCUAGUUGGUGGGGUAAAGGCCUACCAAGGCGACGAUCUGUAGCGGGUCUGAGAGGAUGAUCCGCCACACUGGGACUGAGACACGGCCCAGACUCCUACGGGAGGCAGCAGUGGGGAAUAUUGGACAAUGGGGGGAACCCUGAUCCAGCCAUGCCGCGUGUGUGAAGAAGGCCUUUUGGUUGUAAAGCACUUUAAGCGAGGAGGAGGCUACCGAGAUUAAUACUCUUGGAUAGUGGACGUUACUCGCAGAAUAAGCACCGGCUAACUCUGUGCCAGCAGCCGCGGUAAUACAGAGGGUGCAAGCGUUAAUCGGAUUUACUGGGCGUAAAGCGCGCGUAGGUGGCCAAUUAAGUCAAAUGUGAAAUCCCCGAGCUUAACUUGGGAAUUGCAUUCGAUACUGGUUGGCUAGAGUAUGGGAGAGGAUGGUAGAAUUCCAGGUGUAGCGGUGAAAUGCGUAGAGAUCUGGAGGAAUACCGAUGGCGAAGGCAGCCAUCUGGCCUAAUACUGACACUGAGGUGCGAAAGCAUGGGG
This 710-nucleotide ribosomal RNA is filed under the name uncultured Pseudomonadales bacterium. Its description in RNAcentral is "bacterial SSU rRNA". It matches the Rfam family "Bacterial small subunit ribosomal RNA", at positions 62 to 766 of the family's 1533-position model. The record is from RNAcentral. Lineage: Bacteria; Pseudomonadati; Pseudomonadota; Gammaproteobacteria; Pseudomonadales.